CCUACGGGAGGCAGCAGUAGGGAAUUUUCGGCAAUGGGGGGAACCCUGACCGAGCAACGCCGCGUGAACGAAGAAGUUAUUCGGAAUGUAAAGUUCUUUUAACAGGGAAGAAAGAGCAAUUUGACGGUACCUGAAGAAUAAGCUCCGGCUCACUACGUGCCAGCAGCCGCGGUAAUACGUAGGGAGCGAGCGUUAUACGGAUUUAGUGGGCGUCAAGGGUGCGUAGAUGGCAUAGUAAGUCUUUUGUAAAAAUGCUGGGCUCAAACCAGUAGGGCAAAAGAUACGGCAAAGCUAGAGUAUGACAGAGGCAAGUGGAACUACAUGUGUAGCGGUAAAAGGCGUAAAUAUAUGUAAGAACACCAGUGGCGAAGGCGGCUUGAUGGGUCGAUACUGACAUUGAGGCACGAAAGCGUGGGGAGCAAACAGGAUUAGAGACCCCGGUAGUC
Molecule: ribosomal RNA, 446 nt
Filed under: uncultured bacterium
Lineage: Bacteria
Description: partial 16S ribosomal RNA
Rfam family: Bacterial small subunit ribosomal RNA
Source: RNAcentral